Molecule: small nuclear RNA, 104 nt
Organism: Suricata suricatta (meerkat)
Lineage: Eukaryota; Metazoa; Chordata; Mammalia; Carnivora; Herpestidae
Source: Ensembl
CUCACUUCAGCAGAAAUAUGCAAAAAUUGGAGGAACACAAGAGAAGAUUAGCACGGCCCUUGCACAAGGAUUACAGGCAAAUUCGGGAAGUGUUCCAGAUUUUU